RNAcentral lists this microRNA precursor (124 nucleotides) under Hordeum vulgare. RNAcentral describes it as "microRNA MIR1122". It matches the Rfam family "MIR1120/MIR1122 microRNA precursor family". The record is from RNAcentral. Lineage: Eukaryota; Viridiplantae; Streptophyta; Magnoliopsida; Poales; Poaceae.
UAAAUACUCCCUCCGUUCGGAAAUACUUAUCCUAAAUAUGAAUGUAUCUAGAUUUAUUUUAGUUAUAGAUACAUUCAUUAUAUUUAUUUUUAAGACAAAUAUUUUCGGACGGAGGGAGUAUCAG